This is a non-coding RNA of Podarcis lilfordi (Lilford's wall lizard), 1173 nucleotides long. NCBI's taxonomy places the organism in Eukaryota, Metazoa, Chordata, Lepidosauria, Squamata, Lacertidae. The record is from the annotation of a GenBank genome assembly.
CUCCAGCUUGUUGAUCGUCUUCCCCUGGACCCGGCGUUUGUUCCGUAACUUCGGGGACCUCUCUGGCCCUGCCCGCUCAUUAGGAACCUCUCCAGCCCUCUUUGCACAAGGUCAAGGAGGCUUUUUCCGAGCUGCGUGAACUGCUCUGCGACAAGCUCCACGUGGACCCCCUCAACAUCAGGGUGAGGCUGCUCCCCCGCCCCAAGGGGCUGCCUGGGGGUGGGCUGGGGGGUGGUGUGUGUGUGUGUGUGUGUGUGUGUGUGUGUCACUCCGGGUGGCUUACAGGACAUAAAACAUGGUAAGACAUUAGACAUUUCCUGUUACAGGGUUGCAUUCAGAUUUCAGUUAGUUUUUCAUUUCCUUGACAUCUGGUGGGAGGGCAUUCCACAGGGCGGGGGCCACAACCGAGAAGGCCCUCUGCCUGCUUCUCUGUAACCUCACCUCUCACAGGGAGGGAACCACCAAAAGGGUCGCCUUCAAAGGUAGUGCCACAUAGAGUGCAUUGCAGUAGUCCAAGCGGGAGAUAGCCAGAGCAUGCACCACUCUGGCGAGACAAGCUGAGGGCGGGUGGGGUCUCAUCCUGUGGACCAGAUGGAGCUGGUACAAAGCUGCCCUGGACACAGAAUUCACCUGCACCUCCAUGGACAGCUGUGAGUCCAAAAUGACUCCCAAGGUGCACACCUGGUCCUUCAGGGGCACAGUUACCCCGUUUAGGACCAGGGAGUCCCCCACACCUGCCUGCCUCCUGUCCCCCCAAAACAGUACUUCUGCCUUGUCAGGAUUCAGCCUCAGUCUGUUGAAUCUGCUGUGGGAUCUGUUGUGGGGAGAGGGUGACCCACACAUGGGCCCCCUGGCAGAAGGAGUCACCCCCUCUUUUCUCUUCCAGCUCCUGUCGAAGUCCUCAUCACCCACCCCCCACCCCCUUUGGACAGGAAUUCACCCCUGCUUACCACCAUGCCUUCCACAAGCUGGUCAGGGUGGUGGCUCAUGCGCUGGCCUGCCGGUCCCACUGAGACGCUUGACCCUCUAAUAAAUCCUCCCUCUGCAAUCUGACCCCAGGGAGAAGCGGCCGCCUCCUUCUGCUCUCGCCACCCACCAGGUUUGGUGGGGACCACCCCUUCCAGCCCCCAUGUGACGCUUGACCCUCUAAUAAAUCCUCCCUCUGCAAUCUGA